Molecule: ribosomal RNA, 263 nt
Filed under: uncultured bacterium
Lineage: Bacteria
Description: partial 16S ribosomal RNA
Rfam family: Bacterial small subunit ribosomal RNA
Source: RNAcentral
GUCCACGCUGUAAACGUUGGGCACUAGGUGUGGGCUCUAACCAACGGAGUCCGUGCCGCAGCUAACGCAUUAAGUGCCCCGCCUGGGGAGUACGGCCGCAAGGUUAAAACUCAAAGGAAUUGACUGGGGCCCCGCACAAGCAGCGGAGCAUGUUGCUUAAUUCGAGGCAACGCGAAGAACCUUACCUGGGCUUGACAUGCUGAGAAAUCUCGUAGAGAUACGGGGUCCUUCGGUGCUCAGCACAGGUGGUGCAUGGCUGUCGU